AGCGAACGCUGGCGGCAGGCCUAACACAUGCAAGUCGAGCGGGCCCUUUCGGGGGUCAGCGGCAGACGGGUGAGUAACACGUGGGAACGUGCCCAUCGGUUCGGAACAACCCAGGGAAACUUGGGCUAAUACCGGAUACGACCGUGAGGUGAAAGAUUUAUCGCCGAUGGAUCGGCCCGCGUCUGAUUAGCUGGUUGGUGAGGUAACGGCUCACCAAGGCGACGAUCAGUAGCUGGUCUGAGAGGAUGAUCAGCCACACUGGGACUGAGACACGGCCCAGACUCCUACGGGAGGCAGCAGUGGGGAAUAUUGGACAAUGGGCGCAAGCCUGAUCCAGCCAUGCCGCGUGAGUGAUGACGGCCCUAGGGUUGUAAAGCUCUUUCGGCGGGGACGAUAAUGACGGUACCCGCAGAAGAAGCCCCGGCUAACUUCGUGCCAGCCGCCGCCGUAACAC
RNAcentral lists this ribosomal RNA (454 nucleotides) under uncultured bacterium. RNAcentral describes it as "bacterial SSU rRNA". It matches the Rfam family "Bacterial small subunit ribosomal RNA", at positions 29 to 526 of the family's 1533-position model. The record is from RNAcentral.